Molecule: ribosomal RNA, 461 nt
Filed under: uncultured bacterium
Lineage: Bacteria
Description: SSU rRNA
Rfam family: Bacterial small subunit ribosomal RNA
Source: RNAcentral
AGAGCGAACGCUGGCGGCAGGCCUAAUACAUGCAAGUCGAACGGACCCUUCGGGGUUAGUGGCGGACGGGUGAGUAACACGUGGGAACGUGCCCUUUGGUUCGGAACAACUCAGGGAAACUUGAGCUAAUACCGAAUGUGCCCCCUCCUUUGAUUAGGGGGGUGGGAAAGAUUUAUCGCCAUUGGAGCGGCCCGCGUCUGAUUAGCUAGUUGGUGGGGUAAAGGCCCACCAAGGCUACGAUCAGUAGCUGGUCUGAGAGGAUGAUCAGCCACACUGGGACUGAGACACGGCCCAGACUCCUACGGGAGGCAGCAGUAGGGAAUCUUGCGCAAUGGGCAAAAGCCUGACGCAGCCAUGCCGCGUGAAUGAUGAAGGUCUUAGGAUUGUAAAAUUCUUUCAGCGGGACGAUAAUGACGGUACCCGCAGAAGAACGCCCGGCUAACUUCGUGCCAGCAGCCGGC